UCCGAUUUGUCACCGGCAGUCUCCUAUAAGUCCCCGACUUGACUCGCUGGCAACUGGGAGCGGGGGUUGCGCUCGUUGCGGGACUUAACCCAACAUCUCACGACACGAGCUGACGACAGCCACGCACCACCUGUGAAGGUGUCCCGAAGGAAAACCAUGUUUCCAUGGCGGUCACCUACAUGUCAAACCCAGGUAAGGUUCUUCGCGUUGCGUCGAAUUGAACCACAUGCUCCGCUGCUUGUGCGGGCCCCCGUCAAUUCCUUUGAGUUUUAGCCUUGCGGCCGUACUCCCCAGGCGGGGCACUUAGUGCGUUAGCGACGGCACGGGAGGAGUCGACACCUCCCACACCUAGUGCCCAUCGUUUACGGCGUGGACUAC
This 378-nucleotide unclassified non-coding RNA is filed under the name uncultured Solirubrobacterales bacterium. RNAcentral's name for it is "contains 16S-23S intergenic spacer region". Lineage: Bacteria; Bacillati; Actinomycetota; Thermoleophilia; Solirubrobacterales. The record is from RNAcentral.